RNAcentral lists this transfer RNA (58 nucleotides) under Salmo salar (Atlantic salmon). It matches the Rfam family "tRNA", at positions 8 to 63 of the family's 71-position model. From Rfam's summary of the family: Transfer RNA (tRNA) molecules are approximately 80 nucleotides in length. Their secondary structure includes four short double-helical elements and three loops (D, anti-codon, and T loops). RNAcentral also lists the same sequence under 1 other name. Lineage: Eukaryota; Metazoa; Chordata; Actinopteri; Salmoniformes; Salmonidae. The record is from Rfam by way of RNAcentral.
UGGUUCAGUUGGUAGAGCAUGGUGUUUGCAACGCCAGGGUUGUGGGUUUGAUUCCCAU